This 171-nucleotide unclassified non-coding RNA is filed under the name uncultured Trichoderma. RNAcentral's name for it is "sequence contains ITS2". Lineage: Eukaryota; Fungi; Ascomycota; Sordariomycetes; Hypocreales; Hypocreaceae. The record is from RNAcentral.
CAACCCUCGAACCCCUCCGGGGGGUCGGCGUUAGGGAUCGGCCUCCUCUCACGGGGGCCGUCUCCGAAAUACAGUGGCGGUCUCGCCGCAGCCUCUCCUGCGCAGUAGUUUGCACACUCGCAUCGGGAGCGCGGCGCGUCCACAGCCGUUAAACACCCCAAACUUCUGAAA